This 73-nucleotide transfer RNA is filed under the name Stegodyphus mimosarum. It matches the Rfam family "tRNA". From Rfam's summary of the family: Transfer RNA (tRNA) molecules are approximately 80 nucleotides in length. Their secondary structure includes four short double-helical elements and three loops (D, anti-codon, and T loops). Further hydrogen bonds mediate the characteristic L-shaped molecular structure. tRNAs have two regions of fundamental functional importance: the anti-codon, which is responsible for specific mRNA codon recognition, and the 3' end, to which the tRNAs corresponding amino acid is attached (by aminoacyl-tRNA synthetases). tRNAs cope with the degeneracy of the genetic code in two manners: having more than one tRNA (with a specific anti-codon) for a particular amino acid; and 'wobble' base-pairing, i.e. permitting non-standard base-pairing at the 3rd anti-codon position. Lineage: Eukaryota; Metazoa; Arthropoda; Arachnida; Araneae; Eresidae. The record is from Rfam by way of RNAcentral.
ACCUUCGUGGUGUAGUGGUCAGCACGCUCGGUGCGUAUUCGAGAGGUCCUAGGUUCGAAUCCUAGCGAGCGCA